GACGAACGCUGGCGGCGUGCUUAACACAUGCAAGUCGAACGGAAAGGCCCUGCUUUUGUGGGGUGCUCGAGUGGCGAACGGGUGAGUAACACGUGAGUAACCUGCCCUUGACUUUGGGAUAACUUCAGGAAACUGGGGCUAAUACCGGAUAGGAGCUCCUGCUGCAUGGUGGGGGUGGGAAAGUUUCGGCGGUUGGGGAUGGACUCGCGGCUUAUCAGCUUGUUGGUGGGGUAGUGGCUUACCAAGGCUUUGACGGGUAGCCGGCCUGGGAGGGUGACCGGCCACAUUGGGACUGAGAUACGGCCCAGACUCCUACGGGCGGCAGCAGUGGGGAAUAUUGCACAAUGGGCGGAAGCCUGAUGCAGCAACGCCGCGUGCGGGAUGACGGCCUUCGGGUUGUAAACCGCUUUCGCCUGUGACGAAGCGUGAGUGACGGUAAUGGGUAAAGAAGCACCGGCUAACUACGUG
Molecule: ribosomal RNA, 468 nt
Filed under: uncultured bacterium
Lineage: Bacteria
Description: partial 16S ribosomal RNA
Rfam family: Bacterial small subunit ribosomal RNA
Source: RNAcentral